This 293-nucleotide ribosomal RNA is filed under the name uncultured bacterium. Its description in RNAcentral is "partial 16S ribosomal RNA". It matches the Rfam family "Bacterial small subunit ribosomal RNA", at positions 775 to 1067 of the family's 1533-position model. The record is from RNAcentral.
GGAUUAGAUACCCUGGUAGUCCACGCCGUAAACGAUGUCUACUAGUCGUCGGGGAUCUUGCAUUUCUGGUGACGCAGCUAACGCGAUAAGUAGACCGCCUGGGGAGUACGGCCGCAAGGUUAAAACUCAAAUGAAUUGACGGGGGCCCGCACAAGCGGUGGAGCAUGUGGUUUAAUUCGAAGCAACGCGAAGAACCUUACCUGGCCUUGACAUCCUGCGAACCCUUUAGAGAUAGGGGGGUGCCUUCGGGAGCGCAGUGACAGGUGCUGCAUGGCUGUCGUCAGCUCGUGCCG